CCUGGCUCAGGACGAACGCUGGCGGCGUGCCUAAUACAUGCAAGUCGAACGAACUCUGGUAUUGAUUGGUGCUUGCAUCAUGAUUACAUUUGAGUGAGUGGCGAACUGGUGAGUAACACGUGGGAAACCUGCCCAGAAGCGGGGGAUAACACCUGGAAACAGAUGCUAAUACCGCAUAACAACUUGGACCGCAUGGUCCGAGUUUGAAAGAUGGCUUCGGCUAUCACUUUUGGAUGGUCCCGCGGCGUAUUAGCUAGAUGGUGAGGUAACGGCUCACCAUGGCAAUGAUACGUAGCCGACCUGAGAGGGUAAUCGGCCACAUUGGGACUGAGACACGGCCCAAACUCCUACGGGAGGCAGCAGUAGGGAAUCUUCCACAAUGGACGAAAGUCUGAUGGAGCAACGCCGCGUGAGUGAAGAAGGGUUUCGGCUCGUAAAACUCUGUUGUUAAAGAAGAACAUAUCUGAGAGUAACUGUUCAGGUAUUGACGGUAUUUAACCAGAAAGCCACGGCUAACUACGUGCCAGCAGCCGCGGUAAUACGUAGGUGGCAAGCGUUGUCCGGAUUUAUUGGGCGUAAAGCGAGCGCAGGCGGUUUUUUAAGUCUGAUGUGAAAGCCUUCGGCUCAACCGAAGAAGUGCAUCGGAAACUGGGAAACUUGAGUGCAGAAGAGGACAGUGGAACUCCAUGUGUAGCGGUGAAAUGCGUAGAUAUAUGGAAGAACACCAGUGGCGAAGGCGGCUGUCUGGUCUGUAACUGACGCUGAGGCUCGAAAGUAUGGGUAGCAAACAGGAUUAGAUACCCUGGUAGUCCAUACCGUAAACGAUGAAUGCUAAGUGUUGGAGGGUUUCCGCCCUUCAGUGCUGCAGCUAACGC
This 875-nucleotide ribosomal RNA is filed under the name Lactiplantibacillus pentosus. RNAcentral's name for it is "bacterial SSU rRNA". It matches the Rfam family "Bacterial small subunit ribosomal RNA", at positions 18 to 858 of the family's 1533-position model. Lineage: Bacteria; Bacillati; Bacillota; Bacilli; Lactobacillales; Lactobacillaceae. The record is from RNAcentral.